This 254-nucleotide ribosomal RNA is filed under the name uncultured bacterium. RNAcentral describes it as "partial 16S ribosomal RNA". It matches the Rfam family "Bacterial small subunit ribosomal RNA", at positions 524 to 776 of the family's 1533-position model. The record is from RNAcentral.
UACAGAGACUGCAAGCGUUAUUCGGAUUCACUGGGCGUAAAGGGUGCGCAGGCGGUUGGGUGUGUCAGAUGUGAAAUCCCGAGGCUUAACCUCGGAACUGCGUCUGAAACUACUCGACUAGAGUACUGGAGAGGGGAAACGGAAUUCACGGUGUAGCAGUGAAAUGCGUAGAUAUCGUGAGGAACACCAGAGGCGAAGGCGGUUUCCUGGACAGUUACUGACGCUCAGGCACGAAAGCAUGGGGAGCAAAAGGG